RNAcentral lists this ribosomal RNA (538 nucleotides) under Bifidobacterium pseudocatenulatum. RNAcentral's name for it is "bacterial SSU rRNA". It matches the Rfam family "Bacterial small subunit ribosomal RNA", at positions 161 to 710 of the family's 1533-position model. The record is from RNAcentral. Lineage: Bacteria; Bacillati; Actinomycetota; Actinomycetes; Bifidobacteriales; Bifidobacteriaceae.
UGGUAAUGCCGGAUGCUCCGACUCCUCGCAUGGGGUGUCGGGAAAGAUUUCAUCGGUAUGGGAUGGGGUCGCGUCCUAUCAGGUAGUCGGCGGGGUAACGGCCCACCGAGCCUACGACGGGUAGCCGGCCUGAGAGGGCGACCGGCCACAUUGGGACUGAGAUACGGCCCAGACUCCUACGGGAGGCAGCAGUGGGGAAUAUUGCACAAUGGGCGCAAGCCUGAUGCAGCGACGCCGCGUGCGGGAUGACGGCCUUCGGGUUGUAAACCGCUUUUGAUCGGGAGCAAGCCUUCGGGUGAGUGUACCUUUCGAAUAAGCACCGGCUAACUACGUGCCAGCAGCCGCGGUAAUACGUAGGGUGCAAGCGUUAUCCGGAAUUAUUGGGCGUAAAGGGCUCGUAGGCGGUUCGUCGCGUCCGGUGUGAAAGUCCAUCGCUUAACGGUGGAUCUGCGCCGGGUACGGGCGGGCUGGAGUGCGGUAGGGGAGACUGGAAUUCCCGGUGUAACGGUGGAAUGUGUAGAUAUCGGGAAAGAACACC